Molecule: ribosomal RNA, 429 nt
Filed under: Gemmatimonadota bacterium
Lineage: Bacteria; Pseudomonadati; Gemmatimonadota
Description: Gemmatimonadetes bacterium partial 16S ribosomal RNA
Rfam family: Bacterial small subunit ribosomal RNA
Source: RNAcentral
UAGGGAAUCUUCGGCAAUGGACGAAAGUCUGACCGAGCAACGCCGCGUGAGUGAAGAAGGUUUUCGGAUCGUAAAACUCUGUUGUUAGAGAAGAACAAGGACGUUAGUAACUGAACGUCCCCUGACGGUAUCUAACCAGAAAGCCACGGCUAACUACGUGCCAGCAGCCGCGGUAAUACGUAGGUGGCAAGCGUUGUCCGGAUUUAUUGGGCGUAAAGCGAGCGCAGGCGGUUUCUUAAGUCUGAUGUGAAAGCCCCCGACUCAACCGGGGAGGGGCAUUGGAAACUGGGAGACUUGAGUGCAGAAGAGGAGAGUGGAAUUCCAUGUGUAGCGGUGAAAUGCGUAGAUAUAUGGAGGAACACCAGUGGCGAAGGCGGCUCUCUGGUCUGUAACUGACGCUGAGGCUCGAAAGCGUGGGGAGCAAACAGG